UCACACCCUUGGCUGCAGGCGGUGCUAAACCGCUGCGCCACCAGGGCUGCCCCCAAGCCUAUCAGACCAUGCUUUGAUCAUCCAGAAACAAAAAUGUUUCUUGGAACCAAUCCACGGGGCAACAAAUGGAGUCUGUUUUGACUGUUCUUUCUGAAAACCCUGUUGCCAGUAGCGCUCAUCAUCGUCAUUGACCACGAGGCUUGGCAUGGACCCAGGAAGAACUGUGAUGGCAGGUCAUCCGGGGUCCUUAGGAGAGGAGUUCCUGCUCGGCUACUGUCCCUUCUAAAGCAUUCAUGAAAACAAAUAAUCACCACACAAAUGUGUACUCUCCUACCCGGAGUUAUCAUCCUAUCUUUCAGAAUACUGGACAUUCUCAUCAUUGAACUCCACACCCAAUAUGGAGCUUGAACUCAAGACCCCAAGAUCCAGAGUCACAUCCUCUAGCGACUGAGCCAAUUGGGCACCCCCAGUUUAUAUCUCUUUUAUAUUUUCCAUCUCUUCCUCCCUCCAAGUGAUUAUAUAGAGGUAAUUUCCUUAAGCCUGCUUUGCAGUUUAUUAAGUCUCACUUCUGGUCUUUAACUAUUAAUAUUUCAUUUCCAUUACUUCAGUUUUUCAUUUAUAGAAAUUGUAUUCAAUUAUUUCUUUCAAAUCUGUAUGUUGGUUUUUCACAGACUCAUUAUUUUCUCAUGCUUUAGAGUCUUUCCUUUAUGCCAUUAAUCACGUUAUAUUUAUUUUAUACUCCUGAUUUAAUAGUUCUGUUAUCUGGAGUUCUCAGGAAACCUAAUUCCCCUAAUUGUUGUGUUGUGUCUGCUGACUCUCAGACGUGGCAAACUGUUGCCUUGUAUGCUUUGUAUUUAGGAAUGUGUGUUCAUCUUCAGCACGGGAAUCCCUGACAGCCUGUUGUGUCUCUUCACAACAGUUUUUAUGUUUGCUUCUUCCAGGAGCCUUAGGGUUACCACUGGACAGGACCAAAUUUUAUAUCAUUUUUUUGACUUGGUGCAGGCUGAUAGCAUAAAUCAGCUUUCAGCAAACCAUCAUCUAUUUUAUUCAUUCAAAAAAAAAAGAUUCAUUCAUUCAUUCAUUCAUUCAUUCA
Long non-coding RNA from Canis lupus familiaris (dog), 1093 nucleotides. RefSeq lists it as uncharacterized. The transcript is spliced from 3 exons. The record is from RefSeq and is a predicted model, not a curated record. Lineage: Eukaryota; Metazoa; Chordata; Mammalia; Carnivora; Canidae.